This 1471-nucleotide long non-coding RNA is filed under the name Felis catus (domestic cat). Its description in RNAcentral is "lncRNA (ENSFCAG00000043307.2)". The record is from RNAcentral. Lineage: Eukaryota; Metazoa; Chordata; Mammalia; Carnivora; Felidae.
GAAGAUUCCGUGGCAGUAACUCCUUCACAGGAAACCGUGGAACUUGACAGAAGAGGAAUUGGGGUAGGAAACGGGAAAGGGCCUCCUUUACCAUCACAGAGUUUUCAUCAAUCCCAAAAGGAGGCCUUCAGAGGAAAAUGAAAUAACCCCAGUGUAGGAAUGAGAAGAGAUGAAAACAUGCUGCAACAUCUGUUUCUGAAAACGUAGGGUAGACAUCACAGCCGUGAGGAGCUGGAAGGUUCAGAGGUCUGCGGUUACCAGCUACUUGUGUAGAUGAGAACUCGGCAAGGCUCAGUGGAGGAAGUUGCGGAAAGAACUGUUGUUGGUUGUUCUCCGUCAAGUUCUGCAACACUCCCUCAUCAGUCUUACAGGUGUGGCAAGCUGUUGUGUCUGGGCUGGUGGUUCCAGUCCCCAGUAAGCUCCCAAUCCUUUCCCUUCACCAAAGUCAGAGGGAAUCUCUGGUCAUAUCACCUUGCUUUUUUCACAAACCUAUACACUGAAGUGCAUAGAGAAGCUGUGUAGUAGGACAGACACUAUGGCCAGUGGCCUGUUUUGUGUAUGUGGAGAUAAGGAAGCCAGAAAACCAAAACCACUGAGUGGAUGAAGACUAUGACCCUUUGAAUGGAGUUGGGCCACAUGCUGAGUCCUGCCCAACGAGUUGUGAGGGGCUGUGGAUGGCCAUCUGAAAAUACCCAAGUCUCCUGUGUGAGACACGAAAGAUGGGAGACAGCAAGCCUGUGGAGACUUGGGACCAGAGCAAGAGAACACAUGAGAAGUGAGCAGCCCAUGUACAGGACCGCUGGAGUUCUGGAAGGAUGCAGCUGUAUCUCAGAGGAUGGCUGGUGUGGGGGACAGUAUCUUGGGUGGAUACAGGACAGAGCUCAUCUGAAGCAGCAGGUCAUAAGGGUGGCAGAGCAAACCACUGAGAAUACAUAGGUUACCCAGCCCACAACACCAAGUUGGCAAGUGUAACAGUGGCCAGUCAGUGUGACAGCCCUCUCCCUACUGGAACAAAGACCAACCAGGGACAAGAAGAAAGAGGGAGAAGGAACUCUUGAUUGUGACUCGCUUAUAGCGGAUGAUAGCUGGGAGAUCACUGAAUUUAACUGUGUUUACCCCCAAAAUAAUUACAUUAACUUUUCUGUAUCUGUUUGAAUGAGGACUCAAGAUAGGAAGUCAGGCUAGAAACAGGAAAAGUAAAGAAAGGUACUUUUUUGUCCACCCGAGUCUGUGUUUUAUGAAAUGAACAGGCGUUAGUUACAUUAGCUUUUAUUUGUGAUUAUUGAGUAUUAAUAUUAUGCCAACUACUUUACACAUAUCAUCUCAUUUAAUCGUAACAGCUCUGUGAUGUUUGGAAUUGGAGGGAAGAAUUUAUCCAGGAUAACAUUUGUACCUUUGAAUUUCAAGCCCUGUGACUGUAUUGAUACCUAUGUAACAAUAAAUAUAAUUAAAAUAAUAAAACUGAAGUUCA